AAACGAUGUCGAUUUGGAGUUGUGCCAUUGAGGACGUGCCUUCCGAGCUAACGCGUUAAUCGACGCUGGGGAGUACGGCCGCAAGGUUAAAACUCAAAUGAAUUGACGGGGGCCCGCACAAGCGUUGAAGCAUGUGGUUUAAUUCGAUGCAACGCGAAGAACUUUACUUACUCUUGACAUCCAGAGAACUUUCCAGAGAUGGAUUGGUGCCUUCGGGAACUCUGAGACAGGUGCUGCAUGGCGGUCGUCAGCUCGUGUUGUGAAAUGUUGGGUAAAGUCCCGCAACGAGCGCAACCCUUAUCCUUUGUUGCAAGCGGUUCGGCCGGGAACUCAAAGGAGACUGCCAGUGAUAAACUGGAGGAAGGUGGGGAUGACGUCAAGUCAUCAUGGCCCUUACGAGUAGGGCUACACACGUGCUACAAUGGCGUAUACAAAGAGAAGCGACCUCGCGAGAGCAAGCGGACCUCAUAAAGUACGUCGUAGUCCGGAUUGGAGUCUGCAACUCGACUCCAUGAAGUCGGAAUCGCUAGUAAUCGUAGAUCAGAAUGCUACGGUGAAUACGUUCCCGGGCCUUGUACACACCGCCCGUCACACCAUGGGAGUGGGUUGCAAAAGAAGUAGGUAGCUUAACCUUCGGGAGGGCGCUUACCACUUUGUGAUUCAUGACUGGGGUGAAGUCGUAACAAGGUAACCA
RNAcentral lists this ribosomal RNA (694 nucleotides) under uncultured Serratia sp. RNAcentral's name for it is "bacterial SSU rRNA". It matches the Rfam family "Bacterial small subunit ribosomal RNA", at positions 804 to 1502 of the family's 1533-position model. The record is from RNAcentral. Lineage: Bacteria; Pseudomonadati; Pseudomonadota; Gammaproteobacteria; Enterobacterales; Yersiniaceae.